AAUCAGGCCACCCCGUGGCAUGGUCCCUUCUCUUACGAGCAUCUGUACCUAUCUCUAUUGCCCUGGGUCAAUGCCACCGCCUCUCCUGCUCCUCCUGAGCCAGUGCAAAUAUACAAUACAGUCUUACACGGAAUGGGAGCUGCAGCCUCGUGCUCUGGACCUUAAUAGUUCUCUUUAUGACUCUACAGAAACCUGGAAAUAAGUGAAAGACUCGGAUGCUUGGGGAAGUCUCUGCCUGCUGAGAGAACAGAUGAUCUGCUUGACAACUAGGAGUCAUGUCAUUGGAUGUACUGCUGGCACAUGGUCCUUUCCUUCAACUAGGUGCAAGUUACAAAGUAACUGGACCUUGCCUUCCCCAGUAUCCCUCCUUGAGCCCAAGACACAAACCCAUGAUGGAAGACAGCUGCUGCUGUAGAAGUCUCAACUGGGAACAUUGUGCAACUCAUGUGCACAAGAGGAGAGUGGUAUGCCAUGGCAUAGGAAGCUGCGAAUCACUUGGAGUCACCAGAAUGAUCAGACGAGCUGCUUGGGACCUGAGUUGCCAUCCUUUCUGCUGCCAGUGCUAUACUGUCCUUUUUAAGAUCCAUCUACCUGGCUUCUGCAGUGCUGAUGUGGUGGCGUGUGCUUGGGCAUCUGUUUGGAGUGAACCCAACUGCUCCUCGUGA
RNAcentral lists this long non-coding RNA (665 nucleotides) under Calidris pugnax (ruff). RNAcentral's name for it is "lncRNA (ENSCPUG00000005177.1)". Lineage: Eukaryota; Metazoa; Chordata; Aves; Charadriiformes; Scolopacidae. The record is from RNAcentral.